AGGUGAGUUGCCUUCAGGAGCUUUGACGAAACCUCAUUCAAGUAGAUACGUCUUUCUUCAUGCUUGUGCUUGUGGUCGGACACGACGCUUGCGAUCUGACCCUUUCAAUAGAUAUUUACCAAUAUACCUGAAGUGUCCACACUGCAGGUCUGUCAGGAAUAAAAAGGAAUUGCCUAAGGCUAAAUUUGCUGGAACAAUAUCACAGCUUCAAAGAUUUUUUCUGGUCACAACUCCCUUUCCUGUUGUUCUGGCAACUUGUCCGGUUAUACAAUUCAAGGAAUCUUGCUUACCCUCAUCAGUUCCAGACUGCAAACAGAAGUUGCAGUUCAGCCUUGGAUGUAAA
Long non-coding RNA from Hibiscus syriacus, 343 nucleotides. RefSeq lists it as uncharacterized. The transcript is spliced from 3 exons. The record is from RefSeq and is a predicted model, not a curated record. NCBI's taxonomy places the organism in Eukaryota, Viridiplantae, Streptophyta, Magnoliopsida, Malvales, Malvaceae.